UAAGCGAGGUAGGAGAAGAGUUGGCAAAUCCGCUCUUUAAUCUGAAGACGUGAUGUGGACUGAAAAUAAGUAGGGAAGCACGUGAGCUGACUGUCAAGAAAAGCCGCUAUUGUUUGCAGGAUACCCGUACCGUAAACCGACACAGGUGGAUGAGGAGAGAAUCCUAAGGCCGACGGGAGAAGCAUUGUUAAGGAACUCGGCAAAAUGACUCCGUAACUUCGGGAGAAGGAGUGCCAGUAAGAUGGCCGCAGAGAAUUGGCCCAAGCAACUGUUUAGCAAAAACACAGGUCUAUGCAAAACCGAAAGGUGAGGUAUAUGGGCUGACGCCUGCCCGGUGCUGGAAGGUUAAGGGGAGAGGUUAGCGCAAGCGAAGCUUUGAACUUAAGCCCCAGUAAACGGCGGCCGCAACAAUAACGGUCCUAAGGUAGCGAAAUUCCUUGUCGGGUAAGUUCCGACCCGCACGAAAGGCGUAAUGAUUUGGGCACUGUCUCAACAAUGCACCCGGUGAAAUUGAAAUACCAGUGAAGAUGCUGGUUACCUGCGCCAGGACGGAAAGACCCCAUGGAGCUUUACUCCAGCUUGAUACUGGGAUUCGGUAUUGCAUGUACAGGAUAGGUGGGAGGCUAGGAAAUGGUAACGCCAGUUGCCAUGGAGCCAAUGUUGGGAUACCACCCUUGCAGUACUGGGUUUCUAACCAGCAGCCGUGAUCCGGCUGGGGGACAAUGUCAGGUGGGGAGUUUGACUGGGGCGGUCGCCUCCGAAAGGGUAUCGGAGGCGCUCAAAGGUUCCCUCAGAAUGGUUGGAAACCAUUCGAAGAGUGCAAAGGCAGAAGGGAGCUUGACUGCGACACCGACGGGUGGAGCAGGUACGAAAGUAGGACUUAGUGAUCCGGUGGUAUAAAGUGGGAUUGCCAUCGCUCAACGGAUAAAAGCUACCCUGGGAUAACAGGCUUAUCACUCCCAAGAGUUCACAUCGACGGAGUGGUUUGGCACCUCGAUGUCGGCUCAUCGCAUCCUGGGGCUGAAGUAGGUCCCAAGGGUUGGGCUGUUCGCCCAUUAAAGCGGUACGCGAGCUGGGUUCAGAACGUCGUGAGACAGUUCGGUCCCUAUCCGGCGUGGGCGUAAGAUAUUUGAGAGGAGCUGUCCUUAGUACGAGAGGACCGGGAUGGACUGGCCGCUGGUGUAUCUGUUGUCUUACCAAUGGCAUAGCAGAGUAGCCAAGCCGGGAAGGGAUAAACGCUGAAGGCAUCUAAGCGUGAAGCCCCCCUCAAGAUGUGAUAUCUCAUAACGUCAAGUUAGUAAGACCCCUUGAAGACGACGAGGUAGAUAGGGCAGAGGUGGAAGUGUGGUAACACAUGGAGCUGACUGUUACUAAUAGGUCGAGGGCAUAACCG
RNAcentral lists this ribosomal RNA (1393 nucleotides) under metagenome. RNAcentral's name for it is "bacterial LSU rRNA". It matches the Rfam family "Bacterial large subunit ribosomal RNA", at positions 1513 to 2925 of the family's 2925-position model. The record is from RNAcentral.